This 420-nucleotide long non-coding RNA is filed under the name Phaseolus vulgaris (common bean). RNAcentral's name for it is "long non-coding RNA (PVUL_LNC002467)". The record is from RNAcentral. Lineage: Eukaryota; Viridiplantae; Streptophyta; Magnoliopsida; Fabales; Fabaceae.
UUGGUUCUGGCACAGGAAUAACAGGAGGGUAAACAAUGGGUGGCUUUGGCACAUAAGGUGGUCUAACUGGGACGACUGGUGGUUUAGGAACGUAAGGAGGUGUAACCGGGACAACCGGUGGUUUAGGGAUGUAGGGUGGUGUAACUGGGACGACUGGUGGUUUAGGGAUGUAAGGAGGAAUAACCGGAACAACAGGUGGUUUAGGGAUAUAGGGUGGUGUGACAACAGGAGGCUUAGGAAUGUAAGGUGGUGUGACAACUGGUGGAUUGGGGACAUAUGGUGGUUUUGGGACAUAGGGGGGUGGUUUGACAACUGGAGGUAGUGGAACAUAAGGAGGAUGUGGGUGAAGUGGUGGCUUAGGGUGAGGUUUUGGGACAUAGGGGGGGUGUGGAUGCACUGGUGGCUUAGGGUAGUGAGGAG